GUCUUCUCAUUGAGCUCCUUUCUGUCGAUAAGUGGCAGUUUAUGGAUUCGCACGAGAAGAAGAGACAAUUCACAGAGCUAGCAUUAUUUUUGCCUUCUGUCUUCACAGAGGUACAUUCUGCUGUUUUGUGAGACAUCU
Molecule: small nucleolar RNA, 138 nt
Organism: Manis pentadactyla (Chinese pangolin)
Lineage: Eukaryota; Metazoa; Chordata; Mammalia; Pholidota; Manidae
Product: small nucleolar RNA SNORA75
Exons: 1
Source: RefSeq, a predicted model, not a curated record